Molecule: transfer RNA, 73 nt
Filed under: Petromyzon marinus (sea lamprey)
Lineage: Eukaryota; Metazoa; Chordata; Hyperoartia; Petromyzontiformes; Petromyzontidae
Description: tRNA-Thr (AGT) (tRNA-Thr-AGT-22-1)
Rfam family: tRNA
About the family: Transfer RNA (tRNA) molecules are approximately 80 nucleotides in length. Their secondary structure includes four short double-helical elements and three loops (D, anti-codon, and T loops). Further hydrogen bonds mediate the characteristic L-shaped molecular structure. tRNAs have two regions of fundamental functional importance: the anti-codon, which is responsible for specific mRNA codon recognition, and the 3' end, to which the tRNAs corresponding amino acid is attached (by aminoacyl-tRNA synthetases). tRNAs cope with the degeneracy of the genetic code in two manners: having more than one tRNA (with a specific anti-codon) for a particular amino acid; and 'wobble' base-pairing, i.e. permitting non-standard base-pairing at the 3rd anti-codon position.
Source: RNAcentral
GGCGCCAUGGCUUAGAUGGUAAAGUGCCUGUCUAGUAAACAGGAGAUCCUGGGUUCAAAUCCCAGUUGUGCCU